AUUGAACGCUGGCGGCAUGCUUUACACAUGCAAGUCGGACGGCAGCACAGAGAAGCUUGCUUCUUGGGUGGCGAGUGGCGAACGGGUGAGUAACAUAUCGGAACGUACCGAGCAGUGGGGGAUAACUAAUCGAAAGAUUAGCUAAUACCGCAUAUCUUCUGAGGAAGAAAGCAGGGGACCAUUUGGCCUUGCGCUGUUUGAGCGGCCGAUAUCUGAUUAGCUAGUUGGUGGGGUAAAGGCCUACCAAGGCGACGAUCAGUAGCGGGUCUGAGAGGAUGAUCCGCCACACUGGGACUGAGACACGGCCCAGACUCCUACGGGAGGCAGCAGUGGGGAAUUUUGGACAAUGGGCGCAAGCCUGAUCCAGCCAUGCCGCGUGUCUGAAGAAGGCCUUCGGGUUGUAAAGGACUUUUGUCAGGGAAGAAAAGGGCGGGGUUAAUACCCCCUGUCUGAUG
RNAcentral lists this ribosomal RNA (455 nucleotides) under Neisseria sicca. Its description in RNAcentral is "bacterial SSU rRNA". It matches the Rfam family "Bacterial small subunit ribosomal RNA", at positions 30 to 484 of the family's 1533-position model. Lineage: Bacteria; Pseudomonadati; Pseudomonadota; Betaproteobacteria; Neisseriales; Neisseriaceae. The record is from RNAcentral.